CCCGCUGAACUUAAGCAUAUCAUUAAGCGGAGGAAAAGAAACUAACAAGGAUGCCCUCAGUAACGGCGAGUGAAGUGGGCAAAGCUCAAGCCUAAAAUCGGGUCUCCAAGCGGGGAUUCGAAUUGUAGUCUAGAGACGCGUAAUCAGUGGCAGCCCGGGUAUAAAUCUUUUGGAACAAGGUAUCAUAGAGGGUGAGAAUCCCGUCUUUGACCCGGAGUCUGCUGCGUACGAUGCGUGUUCAACGAGUCGAGUUGCUUGGGAUUGCAGCUCUAAAUGGGUGGUAAAUUUCAUCUAAAGCUAAAUAUCGACGAGAGACCGAUAGCGAACAAGUACCGUGAGGGAAAGAUGAAAAGAACUUUGAAAAGAGAGUAAAAUAGUACUUGAAAUUGUUAAGAGGGAAGCACUGGAAACCAGUCGUGCCUUGCUCGAUAUUUACCAUCGACGGGCGAAGGGUGGUUAGCUAGGAGCGCAAGCCCUAGCUGGCUAUCGGACGUUUAGCCGGUGGGUCCUGUCGAGCUAGGUGGGUCAGAAUCAGUUCGGUUCGCGGGAGAAAGCUGUUGGGAAGAUAGGCUUGCGGGGGUAACCCCAAGGGCUGUUAUAGCCUGGCAGUGCUACCGUGGGUUGGACUGAGGACUGAGAAUACGCGCCACUAGGUUUCGAUUCCUCUGUCCUGGUGUACCAUCUGCGUUGGACAACAAAGUUGUGCGCGUGGAGAAGUGCGUUACUGGCGGGGGUGAAUCAGAUGCAGUAUUCGAGAUUCUGACGAAAUGGUUUUCAUCGACCCGUCUUGAAACACGG
Molecule: ribosomal RNA, 798 nt
Filed under: uncultured fungus
Lineage: Eukaryota; Fungi
Description: eukaryotic LSU rRNA
Rfam family: Eukaryotic large subunit ribosomal RNA
Source: RNAcentral